Molecule: ribosomal RNA, 185 nt
Filed under: Pycnococcus provasolii
Lineage: Eukaryota; Viridiplantae; Chlorophyta; Pseudoscourfieldiophyceae; Pseudoscourfieldiales; Pycnococcaceae
Description: partial Bacterial small subunit ribosomal RNA
Rfam family: Bacterial small subunit ribosomal RNA
Source: RNAcentral
UGUCAGUGGCAGACGGGUGAGUAACACGUGGGAACGUACCCUUUGGUUCGGAACAACUCUGGGAAACUGGAGCUAAUACCGGAUACGCCCUUGGCCUAUGGCCCUGGGGAAAGGUUUACUGCCGAAGGAUCGGCCCGCGUCUGAUUAGCUAGUUGGUGAGGUAAUGGCUCACCAAGGCUACGAUC